AUUGAACGCUGGCGGCAGGCUUAACACAUGCAAGUCGAGCGGUAACAGAGAGAAGCUCGCUUCUCUGCUGACGAGCGGCGGACGGGUGAGUAAUGCCUAGGAAUCUGCCUAGUAGUGGGGGAUAACUUGCCGAAAGGUAAGCUAAUACCGCAUACGUCCUACGGGAGAAAGGAGGGGACCUUCGGGCCUUUCGCUAUUAGAUGAGCCUAGGUCGGAUUAGUUGGUUGGUGAGGUAAUGGCUCACCAAGACCGCGAUCCGUAACUGGUCUGAGAGGAUGAUCAGUCACACUGGAACUGAGACACGGUCCAGACUCCUACGGGAGGCAGCAGUGGGGAAUAUUGGACAAUGGGGGGAGCCCUGAUCCAGCCAUGCCGCGUGUGUGAAGAAGGUCUUAGGAUUGUAAAGCACUUUAAGUUGGGAGGAAGAGCAGUUAACUAAUAUUUGACUGUUUUGACGUUACCGACAGAAUAAGCACCGGCUAACUUCGUGCCAGCCGCCGCGGUAA
RNAcentral lists this ribosomal RNA (506 nucleotides) under uncultured bacterium. RNAcentral describes it as "partial 16S ribosomal RNA". It matches the Rfam family "Bacterial small subunit ribosomal RNA", at positions 30 to 523 of the family's 1533-position model. The record is from RNAcentral.